This is a long non-coding RNA of Pistacia vera, 1969 nucleotides long. RefSeq lists it as uncharacterized. NCBI's taxonomy places the organism in Eukaryota, Viridiplantae, Streptophyta, Magnoliopsida, Sapindales, Anacardiaceae. The transcript has 3 exons. The record is from RefSeq and is a predicted model, not a curated record.
UCCGUUAUGAGAAAGGGCAAGAUGGUCAACUUAUCUGAAGCGCAAAAAUCAAAAUUCAAAAAUUGAAAUCUCGAUCGGUGUAACUUCGCCUGAAUGGUUGCCAGGUUUUCCACUAAAUUGACUUAAAAGGAAAAAAAAAGGGGAGAACUAAAAGACAUUUGCCUUUCUCUGUAAUUGAAGCUUUAAACAGUUAGGGUUGGCGACUAGCGACUGGGGCCGUGGAUGAUGACGAGUGGGGUCCGAAAAGACGAAAAAGGUGGCGCUGUGGCCGUGGUAGAGGAGGAGAAGUCCAAAGAAUUGACACAAAUUGAUAACUAGAAGGAAGACAUUAGUAGAUUCGUUCUAUGAGACUGAUCGUGGGUUGACGACAACUAGCGAAACGAGAGCGGAAAUUGUUGAGCUUAUUACACAGCUUGGAGCUAAGAAUCCGACUCCUGCACUGAGUGAGGCGUUAACCUUGCUUAAUGGCAAAUGGAUUCUUGCGUAAGUGUUUGUUUUGCUUUUUGGUUCGUGGGAAAAUUAUGGUGAAGGGAUUGAAUUUGGGAGUUUUUAAAAUUGGGUAUUUUUGUGGGUUGUUAGUACUUGAGCUAAGUUGAAAUUUUGGUUAAUUUAGGAUGAUAUAAUCACAUAGCUUGUUUUGGUUGAAUUCUACUGCUUUGGAAAUGAAAAUAUGAAGUUAUUCUGAAUGAAAUUUUAAUCCUUUUUGAUAAUUUCUUUGUUUAUUGCUCAAAGGCAUAUUUAUCGCUAGAAAAUUAGUGAUUUUAUCAAUAAUAUAUUUGGAGGGUUAGAGACUCUCAAGAACUUGGAGUUGUAAAAUUGAGAUAAAAACUUUGGAUAUUCCACUGGUGAUCUUAUAUUCUAUCACGAAUAUGCUUUGCAACUUUAAAAAUUGUUAUGUUAUUAAUUGUAAUCAACACCAAAGUCCAAAAUUGAUAUUUCUAAAUUGUGACGCUGCUUUUAUGUAAUCAAUUCUACUUUGAUAGUAUAUAUCAGGUGGCUGCAGAACUCACCAAGAAACUGUGUUAUUUCUGACGGCAAAAUUUGGUGUUUCAAUUUGUACCUAGCAAAAGAGGUUGUAGAUUUUCUUGAGUUGGAACAGAGAUGCAGCUGUAGCACCAAUAGAUGGAUUUAUGCCUUUUCAUAUUGUAGUCUUGUUGAUAUUGGGUUUAAAUUUAUGUGUGGCAAUGGAGGUAUACAUCCUUUUCUAGUUUGCUCCCCUUAUUGUCAAGGGGUUAAUUGCAAUUGGCGAGAGUGGAGGAGAUAUCUCAGACAAUUGACUCAUUAAUUGGUGAGGGCUCAUAUGGAAGAGUGUAUUUCGGUGUUAUGAGAAGUGGGCAGUCUGCAGCCAUCAAGAAAUUAGAUUCUAGUAAGCAACCAGACCUGGAAUUUCUAGCACAGGUUUCCAUGGUAUCAAGACUUAAACAAGAAAAUAUUGUUGAGCUUGUUGGUUAUUGCAUUGAUGGCCCUCUACAUGUCCUUGUCUACUAACAUACUUCUAAAGGAUUUCUUGAUGACAUUCUUCAUGGUUAAGUGGUGUCAUAUUAUUUCUAUGUUUUCAACUCUUAGCUACCAUACCAAUAAAGAUCAUUAUGUGGAUUGACUUUAUAAAUCAUGAAAGGUGUUUCUAGCUGAGGGGUGAUCAUUUAUAUUUAAAAAUUCUGGUAUUCUUUGCAUAUCAUAAUUGGUUUUAAGUUUUGUAAUUGAUGGUUGUGGAAGCCUAGUGUCAAACAAAUUUGAGAGAUGAAUAGAAGAUGAUAUUCAAUUCUCAAAAUAAAAAAGUUACCCUCAUUCUUAAUGUGCUAAUUAUUAUGCCAUUUGCAGCAUCUUCAAUACUGCCCUGACAAUGAUUUCAUCUCUCCUAUCACUGCAGCGUGGACAACAGAGCCUUGUGACAUGGCUUCAUUCAAGCUGUUUUUUAUGCAAUUCUGGAUUGUUUAAGGCAACUCCAAAACUCAGUGAAGAUAAGGUG